UUAGAGAUAGAGGAGUGCCUUCGGGAACGCUGAGACAGGUGCUGCAUGGCUGUCGUCAGCUCGUGUUGUGAAAUGUUGGGUUAAGUCCCGCAACGAGCGCAACCCUUAUCCUUUGUUGCCAGCACGUAAUGGUGGGAACUCAAAGGAGACUGCCGGUGAUAAACCGGAGGAAGGUGGGGAUGACGUCAAGUCAUCAUGGCCCUUACGAGUAGGGCUACACACGUGCUACAAUGGCAGAUACAAAGAGAAGCGACCUCGCGAGAGCAAGCGGAACUCAUAAAGUCUGUCGUAGUCCGGAUUGGAGUCUGCAACUCGACUCCAUGAAGUCGGAAUCGCUAGUAAUCGUAGAUCAGAAUGCUACGGUGAAUACGUUCCCGGGCCUUGUACACACCGCCCGUCACACCAUGGGAGUGGGUUGCAAAAGAAGUAGGUAGCUUAACCUUCGGGAGGGCGCUUACCACUUUGUGAUUCAUGACUGGGGUGAAGUCGUAACAAGGUAACCGUAGGGGAACCUGCGGUUGGAUCACCUCCUUA
RNAcentral lists this ribosomal RNA (534 nucleotides) under Proteus mirabilis. Its description in RNAcentral is "bacterial SSU rRNA". It matches the Rfam family "Bacterial small subunit ribosomal RNA", at positions 1000 to 1533 of the family's 1533-position model. Lineage: Bacteria; Pseudomonadati; Pseudomonadota; Gammaproteobacteria; Enterobacterales; Morganellaceae. The record is from RNAcentral.